CUCGUGUGUGACGCGGUCUUGUUUGAGCUAUUUUUAGUAAGAGAUUGCGACCUAAUCUAGUUUUCUAACCGCAGGAUUGGCUUUUUUUAGGCCUAUUCUUCUUGCGCAUCGGUCGUUUGGGU
RNAcentral lists this non-coding RNA (122 nucleotides) under uncultured Campylobacter sp. RNAcentral's name for it is "purD RNA motif". It matches the Rfam family "purD RNA motif". Lineage: Bacteria; Pseudomonadati; Campylobacterota; Epsilonproteobacteria; Campylobacterales; Campylobacteraceae. The record is from RNAcentral.